RNAcentral lists this ribosomal RNA (512 nucleotides) under Cladosporium sp. CS-P/F06. RNAcentral describes it as "eukaryotic LSU rRNA". The stretch from base 173 to 326 matches the Rfam family "5.8S ribosomal RNA". The record is from RNAcentral. Lineage: Eukaryota; Fungi; Ascomycota; Dothideomycetes; Cladosporiales; Cladosporiaceae.
GGAGGGAUCAUUACAAGNUGCACCCCGNGUCUAACCACCGGGAUGUUCAUAACCCUUUGUUGUCCGACUCUGUUGCCUCCGGGGCGACCCUGCCUUCGGGCGGGGGCUCCGGGUGGACACUUCAAACUCUUGCGUAACUUUGCAGUCUGAGUAAACUUAAUUAAUAAAUUAAAACUUUUAACAACGGAUCUCUUGGUUCUGGCAUCGAUGAAGAACGCAGCGAAAUGCGAUAAGUAAUGUGAAUUGCAGAAUUCAGUGAAUCAUCGAAUCUUUGAACGCACAUUGCGCCCCCUGGUAUUCCGGGGGGCAUGCCUGUUCGAGCGUCAUUUCACCACUCAAGCCUCGCUUGGUAUUGGGCAACGCGGUCCGCCGCGUGCCUCAAAUCGACCGGCUGGGUCUUCUGUCCCCUAAGCGUUGUGGAAACUAUUCGCUAAAGGGUGCUCGGGAGGCUACGCCGUAAAACAAACCCAUUUCUAAGGUUGACCUCGGAUCAGGUAGGGAUACCCAGUUUC